UGGACAUUUUUUUAGUUGGAAAAUAUAGUACAUAUUAAGUAUCUUUAUUUGCAAACAUAAAAAAAUAUUCAUAUUCAUUAAUAUAAAUAAUGUUUAUGGUUUUAAAAAAACACAUAAAUGAAAGAUACAAUAGAAUUAUGCUUUCUCUGAAAAAACAAAAAAACGUGUCUAUGAAGAAAUGAUAUUUAAAUACUUCAAACUAGUUGCUUAACUUCUGUAAAAAUUGUCACUAGAAAUUGAUUCUAAGACCAAACCUGCAUAAUAACAUGUACACAUGCACAUAAGUUUAGUCUGAUAUGUAUGCAUGUGUUUAAAUAAAUAAAUGAAUGUGUGUAUAUAUAUAUAUAUAUAUAUAUAUAACUCUCUCUUGAUAUGCAGUAGAGGUACCACUGCUUAUUUUUAUUUCUUGUCUGUGUACAUUUACAUAUACAUAUAUAUAUAUAUAUGAACUCACGUACUCUAGAGCGUGUCUCACUCCAACAAGAAAAGCAGAAAGAGAAUUGGAUGGGAAAGAAAAGACAGCAGCAGAGGGACCGCGCUUCACAAACCCUUGACCUGAUCAGAACCAACAGCAACGCAUGAUCGGCAUGGUGUCAGAAGCAUCCCACAAUAACUCAAGCAUUCUUGCAUAUUUAUAUUCCCAUCCCUAUUAAAAUAACCCUUCAUUUCAUCAAUAAUAAAAACACAUUGAAUAAUAAUAUACUGGACUUCACCGUUUCCUUCUCCUACCCACACCGGCGUC
Molecule: long non-coding RNA, 742 nt
Filed under: Physcomitrium patens
Lineage: Eukaryota; Viridiplantae; Streptophyta; Bryopsida; Funariales; Funariaceae
Description: long non-coding RNA (PPAT_LNC003857)
Source: RNAcentral